This 403-nucleotide ribosomal RNA is filed under the name bacterium. RNAcentral's name for it is "partial 16S ribosomal RNA". It matches the Rfam family "Bacterial small subunit ribosomal RNA", at positions 355 to 776 of the family's 1533-position model. The record is from RNAcentral.
UGGGGAAUAUUGCACAAUGGGGGAAACCCUGAUGCAGCGACGCCGCGUGAACGAAGAAGGUAUUCGUAUCGUAAAGUUCUGUCCUAUGGGAAGAUAAUGACAGUACCAUAGAAGAAAGCUCCGGCUAAAUACGUGCCAGCAGCCGCGGUAAUACGUAUGGAGCGAGCGUUGUCCGGAAUUAUUGGGCGUAAAGGGUACGCAGGCGGUUUAAUAAGUCGAAUGUUAAAGAUCGGGGCUCAACCCCGCAAAGCAUUGGAAACUGAUAAACUUGAGUAGUGGAGAGGAAAGUGGAAUUCCUAGUGUAGUGGUGAAAUACGUAGAUAUUAGGAGGAAUACCAGUAGCGAAGGCGACUUUCUGGACACAAACUGACGCUGAGGUACGAACGCGUGGGGAGCAAACAGG